UGGGGAAUAUUGCACAAUGGGGGAAACCCUGAUGCAGCGACGCCGCGUGGAGGAAGAAGGUCUUCGGAUUGUAAACUCCUGUUGUUGGGGAAGAUAAUGACGGUACCCAACAAGGAAGUGACGGCUAACUACGUGCCAGCAGCCGCGGUAAAACGUAGGUCACAAGCGUUGUCCGGAAUUACUGGGUGUAAAGGGAGCGCAGGCGGGAAGACAAGUUGGAAGUGAAAUCUAUGGGCUCAACCCAUAAACUGCUUUCAAAACUGUUUUUCUUGAGUAGUGCAGAGGUAGGCGGAAUUCCCGGUGUAGCGGUGGAAUGCGUAGAUAUCGGGAGGAACACCAGUGGCGAAGGCGGCCUACUGGGCACCAACUGACGCUGAGGCUCGAAAGUGUGGGUAGCAAACAGGAUUAGAUACCCUGGUAGUCCACACCGUAAACGAUGAUUACUAGGUGUUGGAGGAUUGACCCCUUCAGUGCCGCAGUUAACACAAUAAGUAAUCCACCUGGGGAGUACGACCGCAAGGUUGAAACUCAAAGGAAUUGACGGGGGCCCGCACAAGCAGUGGAGUAUGUGGUUUAAUUCGACGCAACGCGAAGAACCUUACCAAGUCUUGACAUCCCUUGACAGGCAUAGAAAUAUGUUUUCUCUUCGGAGCAAGGAGACAGGUGGUGCAUGGUUGUCGUCAGCUCGUGUCGUGAGAUGUUGGGUUAAGUCCCGCAACGAGCGCAACCCUUAUGGUCAGUUACUACGCAAGAGGACUCUGGCCAGACUGCCGUUGACAAAACGGAGGAAGGUGGGGAUGACGUCAAAUCAUCAUGCCCUUUAUGACUUGGGCUACACACGUGCUACAAUGGCGUAAACAAAGGGAAGCGAUCACGCGAGUGUGAGCAAAUCUCAAAAAUAACGUCUCAGUUCGGAUUGUAGUCUGCAACUCGACUACAUGAAGCUGGAAUCGCUAGUAAUCGCAGGUCAGCAUACUGCGGUGAAUACGUUCCC
RNAcentral lists this ribosomal RNA (994 nucleotides) under uncultured bacterium. RNAcentral's name for it is "bacterial SSU rRNA". It matches the Rfam family "Bacterial small subunit ribosomal RNA", at positions 355 to 1375 of the family's 1533-position model. The record is from RNAcentral.